AUGAUGUGGAGACAGCGUUCCAGAGCUCUGUGGCUGCGGGAAGGCGACAGAAAUACUAAGUACUUUCAGCGCAAGGCCUCGUGGAGACGGAAGAAAAACACAAUCAGCAAGCUCAAAGAUGAGAACGGCAACUGGGUAGAAGACAGACCCAAGCUUCAGGAGAUGACCACCCACUUUUUCAAGCAACUUUAUACCAAGGAGGAAGGGGUGAACCCUAAGGUGAUUGUAGACUGCUUGAAUGAGAGAGUGACAGGCGGGAUGAACGAGUCAUUGCUCAAAGAUUAUUCAGAAAAGGAGGUCAGCGACGCGCUGUUCCAAAUUGGGCCGCUGAAAGCCCCGGGGCCUGAUGGAUUCCAGGCCAGAUUCUUCCAAAGAAAUUGGAGCACGGUUAAACAGGAUGUGGUGAAUGCGGUCCUGAAAUUUUUCAAGGAUGGUAUCAUGCUAGAAGGAGUCAAUGACACGGUCAUAGUGCUAAUCCCGAAGAAUAACAACCCAUAA
Molecule: ribosomal RNA, 498 nt
Filed under: Triticum aestivum (bread wheat)
Lineage: Eukaryota; Viridiplantae; Streptophyta; Magnoliopsida; Poales; Poaceae
Description: partial small subunit ribosomal RNA
Source: RNAcentral